This is a long non-coding RNA of Harpia harpyja (harpy eagle), 3413 nucleotides long. RefSeq lists it as uncharacterized. The transcript is spliced from 4 exons. Lineage: Eukaryota; Metazoa; Chordata; Aves; Accipitriformes; Accipitridae. The record is from RefSeq and is a predicted model, not a curated record.
GCUUUCCUAUGGCUAUUUUCAUGUCUAUUUCUACAAGUAUGAAGUAGGAGGAGCUGCAAUGAACAUUUCACAGGAGCAGAUCCUGUUCAAGAUCAAUAAACUAACUUCCAUAAGCUUUGGCCCCAGUUUAUGUACUUUGGAGUGGAAUUCUAAAAAAAUAAAAAUGCCAGAACCAAUAUACAGCUCUGAGCAGACAGAGGGUUUAUCAUAUUCCUAUUUUAUGAUUCUUUUGCCAGAGGGAAUCUUUUAUCAUAACUGUGCUGGUAUUGUUGCAUUCAUUAAAGAAAAAAAAAAAAAGAGGAAAUUAUAUUGCUCACCCAGUGUUUCAUUUCUGAUGAGUAGUCCCGCACACCAUGGGAGCUCAGAGGCAGGCAUGUACGGGAAAGCCCUCUGACCUCCCCAUGGCACUAGGUGGCCUCAACAGCACAAGGGUGAUACUCCCCAUUUUGCCAUCGCCCGUGUGUUUGAACAGCAAAGGCGGGUGGUGGCUCUGUGCUGCUCUCUGAGGGGUUUUUAGGGGGUUCGCCAAGGAGGCAGCAGCGGGAGUGGAGCUUGACUCGCUGCCCAGAGCCCGAAGAGUUGCGGAUGCUGAGCAGCCGUAAACCAUCAGCUCUGCUCCAGGAUGGGACUGGGGGGAGGGUGAGAAAGAAAAUACGGUGUUUUUUUCUCAGAAUAACAACCCCUUUACUUCCUCAGAUGGGCUGUGUGCACAGAGGAGUUGCUCACCUGAGUACACUGGGUCAAUACAAAUUGCUCAGUGGUGGUUUUUACCCCAGCUGAAGAGCCAAAGUUUGGGAUUCUUUCACCCUUUCUUUAGCCUGAGUGUCUCCCCACCUCUGUCUGCUGGGGGCUGCUUUAGGCACAGCUGGCCUAACCAGCAGGAGCUGUAGCACAUCUUUCAGACCAGAUCAUGCUAGUGUUUAUAUGAAGUUAACAGAAGGAUUUAAGGCAAAUUCACAACACGAGUGAAACAUCCUGGCUGUGUGUAAAUCCCCAUCAGAUGGCAUGUAGUUUCCAAGGUAAUAUACAAUGCAUGGAGGAAAUACAUCCUUGCAUCCCCCAAGGCAGUGAGCGAGAACAGACUGUGGCUGUGCUCCUCGGAAUCCUUUUGAAUAGCUCUUGUACCCACGGGGAGCUCGAGGGCACAGGAAGCCUGAAAGCACACGGGGACAGCAGGUCACUCUGCAGCCGAGGAUGGGCACAUCAGCACUUGGGCACCAAGACCUUCGUUGGGUGGGGAAGCUUUAUAGGGACAGGAAAGAUAUUUGUGGUUUUUUACAUUUAUUUUUUUUACGUUGGAAGGAUGACUGAAGAAUUUUAUAACUGUUUCAUUUAAAUGCUGAGCUCUCAAGAAACUGCAGCCAGCCUCCUGCCAACUCCAUGUGCGCACUUACGGUCGGUCUGCAGGUGUCAGACAGUUGGGAAGAAAUGUGGGUGGAAAGAAUCAUUUGGAGCAUAUUGGAUUUUAAUGAAACAAACUGUUUCUGGGAUAAUCUUUAAUCUUCUCUGUGUCCUCACGGUGAUCGGGAGCCAGCCUUUUUAUGCAUUGCUAACUAUUCGGAGCAGACUAUUGCUACACCCUGCAGCUGAAGCCAGACUUUAAAAAAUCUUUAGAUACCUAAUUCCCUCUAAAAUCAAUACUUGCUAAUUAGCACACGUAUUUAGCUUCACACACAUACAUAUAAAUUGCAUAUUAGUGAUGCCCUGCACAAAUAUAUGCCUUGGUCUCCAGACAUUAUUUAGAAAGAUAUGUUAGAGGAGUUGAGAAGGUACCUGCAGAUCAAUUAGUAUCCCAAAUUACUGCUCUUGGAUGCUGGUUGUUCUAGGUCCACAUGCAGCUGGGCUUUUCCUGGUGGAGGUUUGCCCCUGCUGUAAGGUGGUUAGGUGACCUGUCUGUGCCUUUUCCCUCUUCAAAUUUAAUCUUUACAGGGUUGAAGACAUGUUUAUGGGAUUAGGGAGCUUGAGAGUACUUUUUUCCCUGGAAUUUGUUGUGGUGUGUAAGGGGAAAUUGUAGCAGAAAAGGCAAAGAGAGCAAUUGGCCUUUCAAGUUUCCACCCAUCCCUGGGUAUUUCUAAGGGAGAGGCAAUCAACCCCACAUCACGUGACUUUUCCUUCUCUAAUGCAGAGAGGAGUAGGGGCUGAAGUCCUCCCUCUCCCCAGCUGAAAGGAGGUGACCUGGGCGUAGUUAAACAUCAACGUAUAAAGCCUUAAAUUAUGUGCUAAACUGCAAAACAAAACCUGAAAGCAGCUGGUGAUUGCUUAUAGUAAUGCAGAAUGGAAAAGAAAGAAUGCAAAAUGAGCAAAAUGCCAAAAGAUGUAAUUCCCUUCAAAACAUGAGCCUGAGAGACCCCGGGGAGGGGGUCGGACACAGGGGCAGGCAGGUGCCUGUGCCUGUGAUGGUGCAGUAGGAAGGCACAGCUCACUUUGCUGCUUUGGAUAUUCACAUCACUGUGUGCCAGAGGGCUGAGAUGCCUGUCCUUGCUGAGCAGAAAAACCCAAUCCACCAUGAAACUGCUUGAACCCCUUUUUUUGGAUUUAGGUGAAAAGCCCUUUUUUCCCUUCCACGUUUGGCAGGUCUUGGCCCUGUUUCCCAGCUUCAGCUGGUACAUCCUUCUCAGAAGGCCUAGGGCUAGCUCUGGGUGCUGCUUCUUGGGGCGUUGCUUUCCAACUGGGGCACUCCGUUUUGGAGUAAAAUGAGGGUAGAAGAGAUGUUCAGGAAGGUGUGGGAUGACAUACAAUUCUCCCUGCUCCUUAGCUGGGCAGUAAAUAUUCAUAUUCUUAAUGUUACCUAUUUUAAUGCAGCUUUGUUGACCAAGUACACAACAUGCAUAUGUUUACUCUUUUCUUUUUUUCUUUUUUUUUUUUCCCCUUCCUUUCUGAUGAGAGAAAAAAAGAUCUAUGCAUACACCUCAGAGGCACCAACUACUUUUGGCUAACAGAUUGGUGCUGCUCUACUGCAACUGGUCUUUUUUCAAGAAGUACUGAAGACCCUUCAACCCCAAGUGAACUGAACUGAGAUGCAGGGAAGGGAAACCUGGGGCAUCUGUGAGUGGUCAUGCAAACUGCAGGUACCCAAAAUCAGGAGUCUGUUGAUCAAAUCCAGCGCUGGACUCAUCUUUGGAAGCUCCUAGGUACUUUAAAUCUGGGAUUUCAACAUAUUUCCAGCAAGAUAUUAUGCAGCAGGAAUCUGCAAAAUGAAGCCAUGCCCUGAUCCUGGAGGGGGAAGAUGGAUGCUGUGCUCGGGUCCUAGGUCUGUCUGCCAGAGGGGACUGUGCUGGUUGCAGUGGAGACUGAGGCAGGUGUUAUUUCUGCCACCAGGAAAAUAAGUAAGAGGAGCAGAGGCAAAAUAGGCACCCACUGAGCACAUUGCACCUCCAGUGCUGGACCAAGCGUCGCACCCAGCAGAGCUCCAC